GGCCAACUGUGAUUACAAACGUCGCAUCGAAAAAGUGAAGACCAACAAAGGGGUUGUGCGAAACCUCAGGCUAACUCGGGAACAAUAUAUGAGGGUGAUUCCUUGGUGGUUAGCCAGGAAUGAACAGUGCUGGGACAUGAUAAUCGACAGGUGGUAUGCGGAAGGUUGGGUGGAGAUGCACGAGUCUUGCCGGCAGCGGCGUUUGAUGAUGCCAGGUGCACCGCACCAUCAGGGCAACAGUCACCUAUGACAGUACGCGGCCAGAUGGUCGGCCUCACAUGGAGGCGAGCCUUGCCCCCCGAUCAAGGCGUGGGCUUUGGCCCACAAAGGGAAGGCGACAUCGGAUGUCAACUACAACCCGGCGGACCCCCCAGAAGCGUACAGCCACGCGACUGUCCACAGUCGUCUCAGUGAGUACAACUCGAUGGCAACGAAGGUGAAUGGGCCGGACUUU
This is a long non-coding RNA of Panicum virgatum (switchgrass), 454 nucleotides long. RefSeq lists it as uncharacterized. The transcript has 3 exons. The record is from RefSeq and is a predicted model, not a curated record. Lineage: Eukaryota; Viridiplantae; Streptophyta; Magnoliopsida; Poales; Poaceae.